GUGUUGUGAGAAAAAUAUUUGUGUUGGAGACUUUUAGUCUUUGAUGACUUACACUACCCUCUAAAAAGUUCUGAGCAC
This is a non-coding RNA of Capsicum annuum, 78 nucleotides long. The record is from Rfam. NCBI's taxonomy places the organism in Eukaryota, Viridiplantae, Streptophyta, Magnoliopsida, Solanales, Solanaceae.